UACGUAGGUGGCAAGCGUUGUCCGGAAUUAUUGGGCGUAAAGCGCGCGCAGGCGGUCCCUUAAGUCUGAUGUGAAAGCCCACGGCUCAACCGUGGAGGGUCAUUGGAAACUGGGGGACUUGAGUACAGAAGAGGAAAGCGGAAUUCCACGUGUAGCGGUGAAAUGCGUAGAGAUGUGGAGGAACACCAGUGGCGAAGGCGGCUUUCUGGUCUGUAACUGACGCUGAGGCGCGAAAGCGUGGGGAGCAAACAGG
This 253-nucleotide ribosomal RNA is filed under the name uncultured bacterium. RNAcentral's name for it is "partial 16S ribosomal RNA". It matches the Rfam family "Bacterial small subunit ribosomal RNA", at positions 524 to 776 of the family's 1533-position model. The record is from RNAcentral.